AGAGUUUGAUCCUGGCUCAGAUUGAACGCUGGCGGAAUGCUUUACACAUGCAAGUCGAACGGCAGCACGGGGCAACCUGGUGGCGAGUGGCGAACGGGUGAGUAAUAUAUCGGAACGUGCCCAAUCGUGGGGGAUAACGUAGCGAAAGUUACGCUAAUACCGCAUACGAUCUACGGAUGAAAGCGGGGGAUCGCAAGACCUCGCGCGAAUGGAGCGGCCGAUAUCAGAUUAGGUAGUUGGUGGGGUAAAGGCUCACCAAGCCAACGAUCUGUAGCUGGUCUGAGAGGACGACCAGCCACACUGGAACUGAGACACGGUCCAGACUCCUACGGGAGGCAGCAGUGGGGAAUUUUGGACAAUGGGCGCAAGCCUGAUCCAGCCAUUCCGCGUGCAGGAUGAAGGCCUUCGGGUUGUAAACUGCUUUUGUACGGAACGAAACGGUCUGCCCUAAUACGGCAGGCUAAUGACGGUACCGUAAGAAUAAGCACCGGCUAACUACGUG
Molecule: ribosomal RNA, 502 nt
Filed under: uncultured bacterium
Lineage: Bacteria
Description: bacterial SSU rRNA
Rfam family: Bacterial small subunit ribosomal RNA
Source: RNAcentral